UAUUUAUUACAUUGACACGAGUACUGACUGACACAAGCACAAGCACAAACCCAAGCACAAGACUAUUGGCUGCACAACUGACAACAGAGCACAAGCAUAAGGAACACUGACUAAUGACUGCACAAUACAAAAAAAGACCCCGACUGAACAAGCUCAGGCCGUUAAAUACUAAGAUCACUGAACUGUGAUCUACCAGUGCCCUAGGUCGUGGUCGAAAAAUGUUAUACAAAACAUCAGGUGUCAAGCGUUACCGCUACCUGAAUGUUUUGUAUAACACACCGCGUGUGCUAGACUAGUUACCGUUGUCGUGAGCUUGACAUUGUUCAUGACAAACAAUAACUGUAGUCUAUUGGUACGUUCGUUUGAUGGCUAGUUCCGCACUGAGUGCCGCACUCAGAGCUGUCAAAGUGUUUGUUUGAAGAAACUAGCGCUGGUGCCGCACGAGUUUUGCCUCCAUCUUGGAACUGAAAGUGCGAGUGCCGCACUCGAUUUUUUUCUAGUUUCGUGCGAGUUUCUCGCACACCAACAAACGAUGUUUGUAAACAUCGAAAUCAGCUGUUCGUUGUUUUCGAUUUGUUCGCGUGUGAAUGGUGGAAAAUUGGACAAAUUGGAUUGCGGUUAUCAAAAUUCGGGUAAGUAUCUUUUUAAUUAUCAUGGUUCCGGUUUUAUUGACCACGGAAUCGGUUCCAGAAGGCUUCCCGAGCAAGAGGGAGUAUGCUUCUUGGACUUCCGGAUGGUUUUGCCGGUUCUAUGAACAUCCGGAAGGAGUUCCCUGCGCAAGAGGGAUGAUGAUUUUUGGCCUCCCGGAUGGGGUUUGUCGAUUCCGUGGCCAUUCUGAAGGUUUCCCUGCGUAAGAGUAACGAUGCUUCAUGACCUUCCGGAAGGGUUUUCCCGGUUCUGUGACCAUCCGGAAGGAAUUCCCUGCGUAAGAGGGAUGAUGUUUCUUGGCCUUCCGGAUGAUUUUUGCUGAGUCUGUCACCAUCCGGAAGGAGUUCUUUGCGUAAAAGGGAGAAAGUGGCCAUUAAGAGAUUGGGUUGAUUUUCCGGAUGUUUGUUUUUUUGCAGGAAAAAGCUGUUAUGUAAAAUAUAAUAUAUUAUUAAAAUAUUUUCCUGCUUUUUCUUCAUGCACAUCACCGUUUUACGGCACCUGUUGUGAUUUAGAUGCUUUGAUGUCUCCCGAUAACGACCAAGCAAGCAGCGGCGGACAUUCCGACGGCGAUGGACGCUACUAAACCCGUGGUGGAGAUCGUUACCACAAUAAUCGGAGCGGUGGGAGCGGCGUGGCGGAGUAAAUAAUCUCAAGGUUAACAACAGCCGAUGCGGUGGCUACAUAAAUCGCGGCGGAAGGGGCCGGUGUGGAAACCCGCAUCAGCAGCAACACCUUCAGCAGUAGCUGACUUCCCAGGGUAAACUCUGACACCACACGAGUUCCCAGAAAAUGAUAGUAGUGGCGUUUCCGUCGAUUAAUGCGGGAGCAAAGGUCGCGCCUUCAUCAAACGUCUGCUCCAGGUGGAGCAAAGGCGCGCAUCUGCAGAGUCCUUAUCCUCAUCAGCUAGGUCGACGAAGCCGCGGAAGAGAACUUUGCGCAUGCCUUCAUCAACAACGCGCGGAUGGGCGACUACGUAUCGAGCGGAUCGCGCGAGCUGCUGGAGCACACUCUCAUCAUAGAUCACUGCACCGGAGACAAGUGGUACAUGUUUAGAUUCUUCGAAAAAAACGCAAACGUCUGCUCGAGGCCAAGGACCAGAUGGCCAAGAAGGAGGCUGCCGCCCGUGGUCAGGAUGACGUUUACGACGGAAUCCCUGGACGACGAAGGGUUUGAUUUGUACCUGAAUCGGAGGUAUGAAUGAUCGCGAUAUCCUCCGCAACUUGCAGCGCAAGCUCAAAUCGGUUAUUCAACCGUCGCAAGCAGUACCCUUUGAAACUGGUGCUGACCCCGAUUCGUGAGUUGGACAAGCAAAUCUUUAAAUAUUCAAAGAAACGUCUUGUAUGCACGAAACGGUGGACCUGUACAACAUUCGCUUCCCCGUGCUGGAAGAGGCCGACCGUAGCUGGACUUGGGAUGCGAGUGCCACCAGAAGAGUCGAAUCGAGUGCUAAUAAUAAAAUUGUGAAAUAAUUUGCUUUAAAAUAUAUACUUCUGCGUAAAAUGACCUGUUUUAAUUUAUUCUUAACAAAAUUAAAUUUCACUGUUGAACAGCAUUUUUCAUUGUAAAAUUUACAGGAGAAACUCGUUAUUAAAGCACUGUUGAACGGCGUUUUAUAUCGAGAAAUUCAACAUUAAAAUAACAGCGAAGUCCACUGUUUCCCAUAUAAAAAAAAACUUCGUUGUGAAUACGCUUAACCAACCCGCUGCGAUUGCCAUGCGGCGCGCCAGGUUCCAGAUCAAUUGAUAAUCACGGACAUUCGCGGCGAUUAACAACGAAUCAGUGAAUCAAUAAGAUUAGAAAAACAGUUCGUGUAUUUUCUGAACUAUAUGGUGUAAUGUUAGAGAUCAUUAAAAAAAUUAAGAAAAUAAACAAAUCGACUGAAUACUUAAAAUAUUUUGCUAUAAGAUAGUCGACUUUCCCGCCGUGGACAUAGUCGGGUUGGACCAGCCAAACGUGGUCCCGGGACAAAGCAGUAGGAUAAACGGAAUGAACUUGUCUUAUCUCAAUUGAGCGAAGUGUUCCGUCCAGUACGUUUUCCAUAGUACCUGAUGAUAAUAUGUACCAUGCGUCGCUACAAAUAAAUCUAUAAUUUUAAAAUUCAGGCAAAAAUGCCAAGCAUUGCAGGAACUACAAUAUAUAAAAAAAAUUAAGGAAAUCCAAAUAAUUACAAAUUCCAAAAACUCAACAAAAAACUAAUUUACUCAAUAACAAGAUCCAAAAUCCUAUACAUCCUAAAACUUUUAAAAUAAAAAAAAGAUAACUGUUUGUAACUCUGAAAUUUCGUAUUGUUCUAAAAUUCCUAAUAUUCAUAAAAUUUAUGAAAUUUCUAAAACCAUUAACAUUUCUGUAAUUCUAAAGAUAUCAAGAAAUUUUUCAAAAUAAUUCGAUGCCAGCAUUUCAAAAAGCAUCAUGUACACACCAUCCUUUUUGAGAAAAACGCAUUUGAAUGUUGAGCAUCCAUUUUCAAUUCCCAUUUUAAUAUAAAAGCAAAAUACGAUGUUCUAAUGAUAACAAACGAUGAAAAAGGUGGUUUUAUUGAUACUUGAUCAUCCAAAUUCAAUAAAACAUUAUUUCCGUAAUUUUAUUUGAGAAAAACA
Molecule: long non-coding RNA, 3245 nt
Organism: Culex pipiens pallens (northern house mosquito)
Lineage: Eukaryota; Metazoa; Arthropoda; Insecta; Diptera; Culicidae
Exons: 3
Source: RefSeq, a predicted model, not a curated record